This 96-nucleotide non-coding RNA is filed under the name chicken gut metagenome. RNAcentral describes it as "TPP riboswitch (THI element)". It matches the Rfam family "TPP riboswitch aptamer (THI element)", at positions 6 to 95 of the family's 105-position model. From Rfam's summary of the family: Vitamin B(1) in its active form thiamin pyrophosphate (TPP) is an essential coenzyme that is synthesised by coupling of pyrimidine and thiazole moieties in bacteria. The record is from RNAcentral.
UUAAUAAGGGGAGCUUGCGGAGCAGGCUGAGAGGAAGCGGAAGCUUCGACCCGUGAACCUGAUGUGGAUAAUGCCAACGUAGGGAUAUAAAUCUGU